GAUUGGUGCUUGCAUCAUGAUUUACAUUUGAGUGAGUGGCGAACUGGUGAGUAACACGUGGGAAACCUGCCCAGAAGCGGGGGAUAACACCUGGAAACAGAUGCUAAUACCGCAUAACAACUUGGACCGCAUGGUCCGAGUUUGAAAGAUGGCUUCGGCUAUCACUUUUGGAUGGUCCCGCGGCGUAUUAGCUAGAUGGUGGGGUAACGGCUCACCAUGGCAAUGAUACGUAGCCGACCUGAGAGGGUAAUCGGCCACAUUGGGACUGAGACACGGCCCAAACUCCUACGGGAGGCAGCAGUAGGGAAUCUUCCACAAUGGACGAAAGUCUGAUGGAGCAACGCCGCGUGAGUGAAGAAGGGUUUCGGCUCGUAAAACUCUGUUGUUAAAGAAGAACAUAUCUGAGAGUAACUGUUCAGGUAUUGACGGUAUUUAACCAGAAAGCCACGGCUAACUACGUGCCAGCAGCCGCGGUAAUACGUAGGUGGCAAGCGUUGUCCGGAUUUAUUGGGCGUAAAGCGAGCGCAGGCGGUUUUUUAAGUCUGAUGUGAAAGCCUUCGGCUCAACCGAAGAAGUGCAUCGGAAACUGGGAAACUUGAGUGCAGAAGAGGACAGUGGAACUCCAUGUGUAGCGGUGAAAUGCGUAGAUAUAUGGAAGAACACCAGUGGCGAAGGCGGCUGUCUGGUCUGUAACUGACGCUGAGGCUCGAAAGUAUGGGUAGCAAACAGGAUUAGAUACCCUGGUAGUCCAUACCGUAAACGAUGAAUGCUAAGUGUUGGAGGGUUUCCGCCCUUCAGUGCUGCAGCUAACGCAUUAAGCAUUCCGCCUGGGGAGUACGGCCGCAAGGCUGAAACUCAAAGGAAUUGACGGGGGCCCGCACAAGCGGUGGAGCAUGUGGUUUAAUUCGAAGCUACGCGAAGAACCUUACCAGGUCUUGACAUACUAUGCAAAUCUAAGAGAUUAGACGUUCCCUUCGGGGACAUGGAUACAGGUGGUGCAUGGUUGUCGUCAGCUCGUGUCGUGAGAUGUUGGGUUAAGUCCCGCAACGAGCGCAACCCUUAUUAUCAGUUGCCAGCAUUAAGUUGGGCACUCUGGUGAGACUGCCGGUGACAAACCGGAGGAAGGUGGGGAUGACGUCAAAUCAUCAUGCCCCUUAUGACCUGGGCUACACACGUGCUACAAUGGAUGGUACAACGAGUUGCGAACUCGCGAGAGUAAGCUAAUCUCUUAAAGCCAUUCUCAGUUCGGAUUGUAGGCUGCAACUCGCCUACAUGAAGUCGGAAUCGCUAGUAAUCGCGGAUCAGCAUGCCGCGGUGAAUACGUUCCCGGGCCUUGUACACACCGCCCGUCACACCAUGAGAGUUUGUAACACCCAAAGUCGG
This 1383-nucleotide ribosomal RNA is filed under the name Lactiplantibacillus plantarum. RNAcentral's name for it is "bacterial SSU rRNA". It matches the Rfam family "Bacterial small subunit ribosomal RNA", at positions 71 to 1430 of the family's 1533-position model. Lineage: Bacteria; Bacillati; Bacillota; Bacilli; Lactobacillales; Lactobacillaceae. The record is from RNAcentral.